AUAGGGGAGCCGGAGGGAAACCGAGUCUUAACCGGGCGUUAAGUUGCAGGGUAUAGACCCGAAACCCGGUGAUCUAGCCAUGGGCAGGUUGAAGGUUGGGUAACACUAACUGGAGGACCGAACCGACUAAUGUUGAAAAAUUAGCGGAUGACCUGUGGCUGGGGGUGAAAGGCCAAUCAAACCGGGAGAUAGCUGGUUCUCCCCGAAAGCUAUUUAGGUAGCGCCUCGUGAAUUCAUCUCCGGGGGUAGAGCACUGUUUCGGCUAGGGGGCCAUCCCGGCUUACCAACCCGAUGCAAACUGCGAAUACCGGAGAAUGUUAUCACGGGAGACACACGGCGGGUGCUAACGUCCGUCGUGAAGAGGGAAACAACCCAGACCGCCAGCUAAGGUCCCAAAGUCAUGGUUAAGUGGGAAACGAUGUGGGAAGGCCCAGACAGCCAGGAUGUUGGCUUAGAAGCAGCCAUCAUUUAAAGAAAGCGUAAUAGCUCACUGGUCGAGUCGGCCUGCGCGGAAGAUGUAACGGGGCUAAACCAUGCACCGAAGCUGCGGCAGCGACGCUGAUGCGUUGUUGGGUAGGGGAGCGUUCUGUAAGCCUGCGAAGGUGGCCUGUGAGGGUUGCUGGAGGUAUCAGAAGUGCGAAUGCUGACAUAAGUAACGAUAAAGCGGGUGAAAAGCCCGCUCGCCGGAAGACCAAGGGUUCCUGUCCAACGUUAAUCGGGGCAGGGUGAGUCGACCCCUAAGGCGAGGCCGAAAGGCGUAGUCGAUGGGAAACGGGUUAAUAUUCCCGUACUUGGUGUUACUGCGAAGGGGGGACGGAGAAGGCUAUGUUGGCCGGGCGACGGUUGUCCCGGUUUAAGCGUGUAGGUGUGUGUUCCAGGUAAAUCCGGUUCACUUUAACACUGAGGCGUGAUGACGAGGCACUACGGUGCUGAAGCAACAAAUGCCCUGCUUCCAGGAAAAGCCUCUAAGCAUCAGGUAACAUCAAAUCGUACCCCAAACCGACACAGGUGGUCAGGUAGAGAAUACCAAGGCGCUUGAGAGAACUCGGGUGAAGGAACUAGGCAAAAUGGUGCCGUAACUUCGGGAGAAGGCACGCUGACA
Molecule: ribosomal RNA, 1102 nt
Filed under: Salmonella enterica
Lineage: Bacteria; Pseudomonadati; Pseudomonadota; Gammaproteobacteria; Enterobacterales; Enterobacteriaceae
Description: partial 23S ribosomal RNA
Rfam family: Bacterial large subunit ribosomal RNA
Source: RNAcentral